GACGAACGCUGGCGGCGUGCCUAAUACAUGCAAGUCGAGCGAUGAAGGGUGGUACUUGUACCAACUGGAUGAGCAGCGAACGGGUGAGUAACGCGUGGGGAACCUGCCUAUGAGCGUGGGAUAACUUUGGGAAACGAUAGCUAAUACCGGAUAAUAUUUUGAAACACAAGUUUCAAGAUUGAAAGAUGCAAUUGCAUCCAUUAAAGGAGAUCUCGGGAUUUCUUAGGUAGUUGGUGAGGGAAAGGCUUUCCAAAGCGAUGAUACAAUGCCGACCUGAGAGGGUGAUCUGGCACAGUGGGAAUGAGACACGGCCCAAACUCCUACGGGAGGCAGCAGGAGGGAAUCCUCGGCAAUGGACGAAAGUCUGACCGAGCAACGCCGCGUGAGUGAAUGAGGGUUUCGGAUCGUAAAACUCUGUUGAUAGGGAAGAAAGUUAGUGAGAGUGGAAAGCUCAUAAAGUGACGGUAACUACCCAGAAAGGGACGGCUAACUACGUG
RNAcentral lists this ribosomal RNA (497 nucleotides) under uncultured bacterium. Its description in RNAcentral is "partial 16S ribosomal RNA". It matches the Rfam family "Bacterial small subunit ribosomal RNA", at positions 28 to 507 of the family's 1533-position model. The record is from RNAcentral.